AACACUGUUAACCUGCGGUACCUGCGGAAGGAUCAUUAAAAAAUUUGCCCGAGACAUUCGUGUCCCAGGCCCCACACUGUGUGCACCAUUAUAUCGUUUCUUUGGCAGGGUCUUUGAGUCUUUUCUCUUCUGAAGGGGCCCAACUUCUCUCACGGCUCUAUCCCUUUUUUUCUUCGGGGGAAGAAGGGGACAGCAGAACAUAGGAAGCAAGUUACCCUGCCAAGUGACUCUAUAAACACG
RNAcentral lists this unclassified non-coding RNA (240 nucleotides) under soil metagenome. Its description in RNAcentral is "partial contains 5.8S ribosomal RNA, internal transcribed spacer 2, and large subunit ribosomal RNA". The record is from RNAcentral.